AAGCAGCGGAGCGUGUGGUUUAAUUCGAUGAUACGCGAAGAACCUCACCCAGGUUUGACAUGCACGUGGUACUGAUCCGAAAGGUGAUGGACCCUUCGGGGAGCGUGCACAGGUGUUGCAUGGCCGUCGUCAGCUCGUGCCGUGAGGUGUUGGGUUAAGUCCCGCAACGAGCGCAGCCCCUGUCGCCAGUUGUAUUUUUCUGGCGAGACUGCCGAGAAAACCUCGGAGGAAGGAGGGGAUGAUGUCAGGUCAGCAUGGCCCUUACGCCUGGGGCUACACACACGCUACAAUGGGCAGUACAACGGGCAGCCAAGCCGCGAGGCGGAGCUAAUCCCAUCAAAGCUGUCCUCAGUUCGGAUUGCAGGCUGCAACUCGCCUGCAUGAAGCCGGAGUUGCUAGUAAACGCGCGUCAGCUAUAGUGCGUUGAAUACGUUCUCGGGCCUU
RNAcentral lists this ribosomal RNA (444 nucleotides) under uncultured Chloroflexota bacterium. RNAcentral describes it as "bacterial SSU rRNA". It matches the Rfam family "Bacterial small subunit ribosomal RNA", at positions 927 to 1382 of the family's 1533-position model. Lineage: Bacteria; Bacillati; Chloroflexota. The record is from RNAcentral.